Nomia melanderi (Alkali bee) is the source of this 606-nucleotide long non-coding RNA. RefSeq lists it as uncharacterized. NCBI's taxonomy places the organism in Eukaryota, Metazoa, Arthropoda, Insecta, Hymenoptera, Halictidae. The record is from RefSeq and is a predicted model, not a curated record.
UGCGCAAACGAUACAACAUGAUACCGUGCGAGUAACUUUUCGAGCAUAGAAAUUGAUUGGUUUACACAAUUGGUUGGCAUAACGAACGUUGAAAUUCUCAAUUACUCUAGAUCUGGAUCAAACGAAGCACAAAUCACACCUACAUACGUAUCGUUGAUCAGAAAAGUGAUUGGAUGCGAGUCGUCAGCCGGUGCGCCAAAGAAACAUGUAUGAACACAAGUAACGAGUGCCUAGCAAAGUAUCUAAGAUGAAUUCGAGGAUAACGAAGAAAUAAGUUCGAUACGACGACUUUCGAGUGUUCGAAUAAGGAAAUACGGGAUCAGAUCGAAAAUUCGGUUGCUCGAAUGAAUGUUUGAGACAGCAAAGCUAUACGAGCGUCUUCUGAAAGAUCUGUUCUAUUGAUAAUUAACGAAUAAGCUAGUAUUACACGAUAUUCCAAUCCAUUAAUUAAAGGUUUUUACAGUCACUGGAAUGUUAGCCUUCGUACGCAUAUUUGAAAUCGAGUGUCGCAGAAACAGGCAGAUUCAUUGAAAUGACUGAAAAUCGAAGCCAGAGGUUGCCGUGUACAACAACGUAAAAAUCGACGCAGCGAAUUGCAAGUGAAAA